This 257-nucleotide long non-coding RNA is filed under the name Lathyrus oleraceus (garden pea). Its description in RNAcentral is "Pisum sativum (pea) long non-coding RNA (PSAT_LNC002017)". Lineage: Eukaryota; Viridiplantae; Streptophyta; Magnoliopsida; Fabales; Fabaceae. The record is from RNAcentral.
UACUUUUUUCCAGGAAGUCUAUCCUUGAUAUGUUUACCCUAACUGGUAACGGAUAUUCUUCCCAUUUCCCUAGGUGGUCUAUCCUUGAUAUGUUCAUCCUAACCGAUUACGGAUAUUCUUCCUUUGAGUUUAUCCUUGAUAUGUUCAGUUUAACCGGUGACAGAUAUUCUCUCUCUUUGGUCUUCUUCCCAGUAUCCGAUAGUUGUAAAUCCUAUUUGAUAUGUUCCCUAGUAGGAUAUUCUUACCCAGUAACCGGU